This 403-nucleotide ribosomal RNA is filed under the name uncultured bacterium. RNAcentral describes it as "partial 16S ribosomal RNA". It matches the Rfam family "Bacterial small subunit ribosomal RNA", at positions 30 to 526 of the family's 1533-position model. The record is from RNAcentral.
AUUGAACGCUGGCGGCAGGCCUAACACAUGCAAGUCGAGCGAGCGGCGGACGGGUGAGUAAUGUAUGGGGACUGCCCGAUAGAGGGGGAUAACUCCUGGAAACGGUAGCUAAUACCGCAUACUAUCGGAUAACCCAUAUGGGAUUAGCUAGUAGGUGAGGUAAUGGCUCACCUAGGCGACGAGCCCUCGCUGGUCUGAGAGGAUGAUCAGCCACACUGGGACGGAGACACGGCCCAGACUCCUACGGAGGCAGCAUUGGGGAAUAUUGCACAAUGGGGGCAAGCCUGAUGCAGCCAUGCCGCGUGUAUGAAAAAGGCCUUCGGGUUGUAAAGUACUUUCAGUCGGGAGGCGUUACCGACAGAAGAAGCACCGGCGAACUCCGUGCCAGCAGCCGCGGUAAUUC